AAAACAUAGAUUUUGUUUUCAUCAUCAACAAAAGUAUGCAGGUGAAAUAUUAUCCAAGUUUGUUAUGAAAGAGUCUAAUAAAGUAUGUAGUCCAAAUGUUCCUGGAUAUAAGUUGGUGACAGACGAAAAUGACAAAUCCUGGAUGCUACCACCUACAAGCAAAUGGUAGGGAGUCCUAUUAACCUUCUAGCUACAAGGCAUGAUAUGGAUUUUUUUAGUAUGUUUGGUGUCUAGGUACAUGGAGAAAGAUUGUAGCAAGUGUCGGACAUGGAAAAAGGUGAAUAUAUAAAUCAAUGCCAUCCAUUUUUUCACUACCUUUCUUUACUCCUUCUUGUAUUCAUAUUUCAUAUUUAUAGCCUUUCAUUUGCUACACGAAAACUGGUAUUCUUUUUACUACACAAGUAACACAUAAACAUGCAAUCUUAGAAGUUAGAUUUCAUCUAGAUUAUAAUCUGUUUGCAACCGCUCCAGUUAAUACAACAAUAAAACUAUGGAAUACAAC
RNAcentral lists this long non-coding RNA (502 nucleotides) under Lathyrus oleraceus (garden pea). RNAcentral describes it as "Pisum sativum (pea) long non-coding RNA (PSAT_LNC013992)". Lineage: Eukaryota; Viridiplantae; Streptophyta; Magnoliopsida; Fabales; Fabaceae. The record is from RNAcentral.